AAACACUUGAAGUCAGUCGCGUCGUUCAGAACUCAGCCUGGCCUUGGCUUGGUGCAUUUUCUGAAUGACGGGCCAGCAUCAAUUUUGACUGUUGGAUAAAGGUCAGAGAAAUGUGGCUCCUUUGGGAGUGUUAUAGUCUCUGAUUGCAUACAAUGGUUGGGAUUGAGGAACUCAGCAUGCCUUUAUGGUCGGGGUUCGCCCACGUUCAUGCUUAGGAUGCUGGCGUAAUGGCUUUAAAUGA
This 241-nucleotide ribosomal RNA is filed under the name Meripilus pouzarii. RNAcentral's name for it is "Physisporinus pouzarii partial large subunit ribosomal RNA". The record is from RNAcentral. Lineage: Eukaryota; Fungi; Basidiomycota; Agaricomycetes; Polyporales; Meripilaceae.